AAAGUAUGAAGUAAAUUUUACAAUUAGUUUCGACCUAAAAUUAGGGAGAAUAACCCCUUACUUAACUU
RNAcentral lists this transfer RNA (68 nucleotides) under Dindymus rubiginosus. RNAcentral describes it as "tRNA-Arg". The record is from RNAcentral. Lineage: Eukaryota; Metazoa; Arthropoda; Insecta; Hemiptera; Pyrrhocoridae.